AAAAGGUAACGGAGGCGCUCAAAGGUUCCCUCAGAAUGGUUGGAAAUCAUUCAUAGAGUGUAAAGGCAUAAGGGAGCUUGACUGCGAGACCUACAAGUCGAGCAGGGUCGAAAGACGGACUUAGUGAUCCGGUGGUUCCGCAUGGAAGGGCCAUCGCUCAACGGAUAAAAGCUACCCCGGGGAUAACAGGCUUAUCUCCCCCAAGAGUUCACAUCGACGGGGAGGUUUGGCACCUCGAUGUCGGCUCAUCGCAUCCUGGGGCUGUAGUCGGUCCCAAGGGUUGGGCUGUUCGCCCAUUAAAGCGGUACGCGAGCUGGGUUCAGAACGUCGUGAGACAGUUCGGUCCCUAUCCGUCGUGGGCGUAGGAAAUUUGAGAGGAGCUGUCCUUAGUACGAGAGGACCGGGAUGGACAUACCUCUGGUGUACCAGUUGUCGUGCCAACGGCAUAGCUGGGUAGCUAUGUGUGGACGGGAUAAGUGCUGAAAGCAUCUAAGCAUGAAGCCCCCCUCAAGAUGAGAUUUCCCAACUUCGGUUAUAAGAUCCCUCAAAGAUGAUGAGGUUAAUAGGUUCGAGGUGGAAGCAUGGUGACAUGUGGAGCUGACGAAUACUAAUCGAUCGAAGACUUAAUCAA
RNAcentral lists this ribosomal RNA (631 nucleotides) under Staphylococcus aureus. RNAcentral's name for it is "partial 23S ribosomal RNA". It matches the Rfam family "Bacterial large subunit ribosomal RNA", at positions 2292 to 2925 of the family's 2925-position model. The record is from RNAcentral. Lineage: Bacteria; Bacillati; Bacillota; Bacilli; Caryophanales; Staphylococcaceae.